CGAGGUGCUUGACACCGGCGCGAGCGGCCCGUCUGGCUCUUCAGCUGUCAUUUGAAAUGUAAAGCGAAUGAAAAUAGAUACGCAGAAACAUCCUCAAUUAGCACCAGAGAUGCGACUGAAGACAUUUUUUUCCUCCUGUUCUUUUUUUUUAUUCAUGAAAGGACGCUGUGUGUUUUUUUCUAAAAGAUCCGGACGCCGAGAGGAGUCAGGAGCAGAGUUGCUUUUAAUCACCAAGGACGGCAGGAGUCGACUUCCUCUGAAAAUUGACCGUAAAGAUGCAGUUGGAAGGCGCUGGCACAGGGCAUCAAAUUAUAAAGACUGAAGGAAAAAGCCUGUCACGGUCCGUAUGUGUGUGCGCAUCAGCGCUUGAGGAGGACAGAUUCGGCCAGCCUCGCGCCCCGCAAUGCAGCCAAAUCCCUAUCUCACCCCAACAGAAGCCGAAGCGUCAACCCUCCUCCAUGUCUGUGGCGUCUGCACCCUCCAGCCUGCGAAGGGGCGGACCACCUCCCCGACACUCACCUCCUCUGCCGCACCUUCUGUCCUCUCUCACCUCAUCGUGUUCUUUCUGCAUCGUCCUCUUGGUCAUCUGUGGGUCCUUUUUUUUGCUGCUUGGUACCCGGGUGCUCUUUCUUUCAUCCAAAAUAGCCAGAAGUCACAGCCAUGAAUCAUGAUAUUUUCCCUUGAAGCACACUAACCAUGGCAUCAAAUCUAUAAGACAUAGGCUAAUAACUACAAAUUUACUCAAGCAUAUUGGUCAUAUCGGAACUGUAAUCUUUGAACUUGCAACGAUAGGAUAUUCUUUUUUUAUGUACGUUAUGUUUUCGCUAUGUUUCCGUAACGUUUUCCCUCAAUUGUUGAGAAAAAUUUGAGAUGAGGUUAAACAAGCAGCGAAAUCCUAAGAGACGUAGGGGUGAUGAACUAGCGGUUAAACAGUUAGUAUUAUGACUGGCCGGCCUAUGUUUCCAAAAGCACAUCUCCAAUGUUAGUACAAUGUUUGUUUGCCUGUAAUCCAAGGGAGAGGCUCUGCGUGCAGGGGCGUAGCAAGCUUUUCAAAAGUGCGGGGGAUGGAUGUGUUUUGUUUGUAAACAAUGAAAACCUUGAACGUAAUGACAGAAAGGUACAAAAGGUAUAACAUACAAGAUAUAAAAAGCUUCCCAUUUAAAUGUGUGAUACUAGUAAAGUAUAAAAACACAUUCGGAACACACAGAAAAUAAGUCAAAACUCUGUUGUGAAAAUACACAACCUUGCUAAUGAAUCAGAAAAACUUUAAUAAUCACAGGGGGGAAGACAGUGGAAAGCUUGAUAGUGACAUUGGUCUGACAGGACUGUGACCGCUAAAGUUUGCUUACUUGCACCUUAAAAAGGGGAGAUAUAAAAAAACGCCCACACAAAGCUUUUUCUCUGGUGGUAUAAAUAAUGUAACAAUUUUCUGUUUUUAAACAUUAAAAUAAUAUACACUUUUCGUUCAUAGUUCUUCAACAGGUACAAUCAAACAUAAUAGGUAAGUAUCCACAAAAGUAUUCAGCUAAACAAAAAAAGCAAUGUUCAAAAUAUCAAAAUCAAUAAACCCAUAAAUACAGUGCUUAACAAGGACAAUUUGUCCCUCCUCCUCGUCAAUUCCCUGCCUUCUUCAUCACAGUUACUUUAUACAUUGCAUGCCACAUAAAUAACCCAAUUUAGCUAUUUCUGAACAAUAUCCCAAUUUCCAAUUAGCAUUAGUCUAAAAACUAAAUAUAAUUCAGAAAACACUCGACAUAUCAACAAAACAUAAACAGAACAUCUCCCCAAACACAUAUCAAGGUUAUUUAAAAACUUUGAAAGCAUAAACACUCAUUCAAAGUCGCUGGAAAAGGAACACGUAAAUAACCAUAACCGUUCCCGCCUCCUCAGCACGAGCUAACCGAUAAAUCUAACACACCAAGAGAGGCGGGACUUAAGGCAGAACAGCCAAUCAUCAUCCGGUCACACUCAAAGCCGGUGUUCUGAUUGAGUGGGAGGGGAGAGGAGAGGAAGCAGCCGCAUCGAGCGCAGACACAGAGCGGACAGAGAAACGCUGGAGUGACUGCUGUAAGGCGUUUUGUAAAAACUGCUGAAAAACUGCAAAAAAAGUGCGGGUGUUUAACCCUUUCACCGGGAAAAGUGUGGGUGUUAAAACACCCACAUCCCCCACGGUUGCGACGCCCCUGUCUGCGUGGUCUCUCUCUUUCGGUUCUGAGAGACGCGAAUGCCUCUGGGAUAUCACAUCCAAGUUCCUCUCCUCUGCAGCUUAACCAUGCGGCAGCCCACAGAACCGCGAGUGGCCUCGGGGCACGGGGAAAGGAUGGGAACUUUUCCCCAGGGCCCAGUGAGAGGCACACACAGCAAAUAAACAACCCACACUCCUCGUGUGUACAAGGCUUGAUAAGGCCCUUAAGGAAGGUCCGCGCAUCUCCCCUAUUCACUCUCUCUUCCCAAAGUCUCCGAAAUACAACAGUACCACCCCCUUAAAAAAGCCUCCCAAGACAGGAGAUCAAAGGAUGCCAGAAUGCGAUCUUCGUCAUCUCUCUCUCUCUCUGCAGCCCACAACACGGUAAAGUUUCUUGUUUUCGGGUUUUUACAAUAAGGAGAGAGUAACAACAAUGAACAAUGUGGGAUCUGUCGCACGCGCUUUUCCCGAAGGAGCCUCAACUCAGACGGGAAAUUUCAUUAGGAGUGGGGGAAGAAUCCGAACAGAUAAACAUUGUUCAAAGCGCCCUGUAAUGCCACAGAAGUGCAUUCCUGCAACUUUGCAGAAAGUUGGACAGUUACUUUACAAAAAGAUUUCGUAAAACGUGCGUGCAAGUUCUUGUUCACUUUCUCUUGGGGUUGACCUAGUUCUUCACAUUUAUUCCA
Molecule: long non-coding RNA, 2871 nt
Organism: Triplophysa dalaica
Lineage: Eukaryota; Metazoa; Chordata; Actinopteri; Cypriniformes; Nemacheilidae
Exons: 3
Source: RefSeq, a predicted model, not a curated record